Molecule: ribosomal RNA, 406 nt
Filed under: uncultured bacterium
Lineage: Bacteria
Description: partial 16S ribosomal RNA
Rfam family: Bacterial small subunit ribosomal RNA
Source: RNAcentral
AUUGAACGCUGGCGGCAGGCCUAACACAUGCAAGUCGAACGAGUGGCGGACGGGUGAGUAAUGUCUGGGAAAAUGCAUGAUGGAGGGGGAUAACUACUGGAAACGGUAGCUAAUACCGCAUACAAUCAGAUGGGCACAGAUGGGAUUAGCUAGUUGGAGGGGUAACGGCUCACCAAGGCGACGAUCCCUAGCUGGUCUGAGAGGAUGACCAGCCACACUGGAACUGAGACACGGUCCAGACUCCUACGGGAGGCAGCAGUGGGGAAUAUUGGACAAUGGGCGCAAGCCUGAUGCAGCCAUGCCGCGUGUAUGAAGGAGGCCUUCGGGUUGUAAAGUACUUUCAGCGGGGAGGCGUUACCCACAGAAGAAGCAACGGCUAACUCCGUGCAAGCAGCCGCGGUAAUUC